UUUAAAUUGAGAGUUUGAUCCUGGCUCAGGACGAACGCUGGCGGCGUGCCUAACACAUGCAAGUCGAGCGGAGAAUGCGGAUAUGUUUACAUAGAAGCGUUCUUAGCGGCGGACGGGUGAGUAACACGUGGGUAACCUGCCUCAAAGUGGGGGAUAGCCUUCCGAAAGGAAGAUUAAUACCGCAUAA
RNAcentral lists this ribosomal RNA (187 nucleotides) under Proteiniclasticum ruminis. RNAcentral describes it as "16S rRNA. Bacterial SSU". It matches the Rfam family "Bacterial small subunit ribosomal RNA", at positions 1 to 176 of the family's 1533-position model. Lineage: Bacteria; Bacillati; Bacillota; Clostridia; Eubacteriales; Clostridiaceae. The record is from RNAcentral.